RNAcentral lists this ribosomal RNA (943 nucleotides) under Clostridioides difficile. RNAcentral's name for it is "partial 23S ribosomal RNA". It matches the Rfam family "Bacterial large subunit ribosomal RNA", at positions 408 to 1361 of the family's 2925-position model. Lineage: Bacteria; Bacillati; Bacillota; Clostridia; Peptostreptococcales; Peptostreptococcaceae. The record is from RNAcentral.
CAGAGUACCACGGGACACGUGAAACCCUGUGGGAAGCAGGAGGGACCACCCUCCAAGGCUAAAUACUACCUAGUGACCGAUAGCGUAUAGUACCGUGAGGGAAAGGUGAAAAGAACCCCGGGAGGGGAGUGAAAUAGAACCUGAAACCCUGCACUUACAAGCUGUGGAAGCACAUUUCUUGUGUGACCGCGUACUUUUUGUAGAACGGGCCAACGAGUUACGUUAAGUAGCAAGGUUAAGCACUUAAGGUGCGGAGCCGUAGCGAAAGCGAGUUUUAACUGAGCGUUCAGUUACUUGACGUAGACCCGAAACCGGGCGACCUACCCAUGAGCAGGAUGAAGCGAAAGUAAAAUUUCGUGGAGGUCCGAACCCACGAGCGUUGAAAAGCUCGGGGAUGACUUGUGGGUAGCGGUGAAAUUCCAAUCGAGCCCGGAGAUAGCUGGUUCUCCCCGAAAUAGCUUUAGGGCUAGCCUCAAGGUGAGAGAUACGGAGGUAGAGCACUGAAUGUCCUAGGGGGUAUUGCACCUACCGAAGACUAUCAAACUCCGAAUGCCGUCAUCUUAUACUUGGGAGUCAGACUGUGGGUGAUAAGAUUCAUAGUCGAAAGGGCAACAGCCCAGAUCGUCAGCUAAGGUCCCUAAAUGUAAGUUAAGUGGUAAAGGAUGUGGGAUUGCACAGACAACCAGGAUGUUGGCUUAGAAGCAGCCACUCAUUCAAAGAGUGCGUAAUAGCUCACUGGUCGAGUGAUCCUGCGCCGAAGAUUUCCGGGGCUAAAACUUACUACCGAAGCUACGGCAUCAGUAAUGAUGGGUAGGGGAGCUUCCCAUACGGGUUGAAGCAUGACCGUAAGGACAUGUGGACAGUAUGGGAGUGAGAAUGUUGGCAUGAGUAGCGAGAUGUGGGUGAGAAUCCCACAGGCCGUAAACCCAAGGUUUCCAGGGGA